RNAcentral lists this ribosomal RNA (432 nucleotides) under uncultured bacterium. Its description in RNAcentral is "partial 16S ribosomal RNA". It matches the Rfam family "Bacterial small subunit ribosomal RNA", at positions 29 to 507 of the family's 1533-position model. The record is from RNAcentral.
ACGAACGCUGGCGGCAUGCCUAACACAUGCAAGUCGUACGAGACCUUCGGGUCUAGUGGCGCACGGGUGCGUAACGCGUGGGAACCUGCCCUUAGGUUCGGAAUAACUCCCCGAAAGGGGUGCUAAUACCGGAUAAUGUCUUCGGACCAAAGAUUUAUCGCCUUUGGAUGGGCCCGCGUUGGAUUAGCUAGUUGGUAGGGUAAAAGCCUACCAAGGCGACGAUCCAUAGCUGGUCUGAGAGGAUGAUCAGCCACACUGGGACUGAGACACGGCCCAGACUCCUACGGGAGGCAGCAGUGGGGAAUAUUGGACAAUGGGCGAAAGCCUGAUCCAGCAAUGCCGCGUGAGUGAUGAAGGCCUUAGGGUUGUAAAGCUCUUUUACCCGGGAUGAUAAUGACAGUACCGGGAGAAUAAGCUCCGGCUAACUCCGUG